GAAAUAAACAUCUUAAGCUUCUAACUUAAACUUUAGCAGAAUCUCUGUUAUUAUUUCU
RNAcentral lists this transfer RNA (58 nucleotides) under Aspidiphorus orbiculatus. RNAcentral describes it as "tRNA-Ser". The record is from RNAcentral. Lineage: Eukaryota; Metazoa; Arthropoda; Insecta; Coleoptera; Sphindidae.